UCGACUGUUUUUACAAAAACAUUUCUUUUUAGAUUUUAUAAAAAGUAAAAUCUGCCCACUGAUAAAUUAAAGGGCCGCGGUAUUUUGACCGUGCUAAGGUAGCAUAAUCAUUAGUCUCUUAAUUAGGGAAUAGAAUGAAUGGUUAAACCUAGAAUAAAUUUUUUAUUCGAUUUAAAUUAAAUUUAAUUUAAAGUGAAAAUGCUUUACAUCAAAAAAAAGACGAUAAGACCCUAUAGAGCUUAAUCUUCUAACUUAAAUAAUUCUUUGGGGGAAAGAAUUAUUUAAGUUAGAAGGUUUAGUUGGGGCAAUUUUAGAAUAAUAAAAACUUCUAGUAAAUAAUUAAAAAAAUCUUCAUUUUAAAAAAGUAAAAAGUUACCUUAGGGAUAACAGCGUAAUGAUUUUUUAGAGUCCUUAUCGAUAAAAUUGUUUGCGACCUCGAUGUUGAAUUAAAAUUUCUUUAAAGAGCAGUAUUUUUACAAGGAAGUCUGUUCGACUAUUAAAUUUUUACAUGAUUUGAGUUCAGACCGGA
Molecule: ribosomal RNA, 529 nt
Filed under: Entomobrya cf. lanuginosa 14FR7_1
Lineage: Eukaryota; Metazoa; Arthropoda; Collembola; Entomobryomorpha; Entomobryidae
Description: partial 16S ribosomal RNA
Rfam family: Bacterial large subunit ribosomal RNA
Source: RNAcentral